Molecule: ribosomal RNA, 578 nt
Filed under: uncultured Legionella sp.
Lineage: Bacteria; Pseudomonadati; Pseudomonadota; Gammaproteobacteria; Legionellales; Legionellaceae
Description: bacterial SSU rRNA
Rfam family: Bacterial small subunit ribosomal RNA
Source: RNAcentral
ACGGGUGAGUAACGCGUAGGAAUAUGCCUUAAGGUGGGGGACAACUUGGGGAAACUCAAGCUAAUACCGCAUAAUCUCUUUGGAGAAAAGCUAGGGACCUUCGGGCCUGGCGCUUUAAGAUUAGCCUGCGUACGAUUAGCUAGUUGGUAGGGUAAAGGCCUACCAAGGCGACGAUCGUUAGCUGGUCUGAGAGGAUGACCAGCCACACUGGAACUGAGACACGGUCCAGACUCCUACGGGAGGCAGCAGUGGGGAAUAUUGGACAAUGGGGGCAACCCUGAUCCAGCAAUGCCGCGUGUGUGAAGAAGGCCUGAGGGUUGUAAAGCACUUUCAGUGGGGAGGAGGAUUGCCAGGUUAAGAGCUAGGUAAUUGGACGUUACCCACAGAAGAAGCACCGGCUAACUCCGUGCCAGCAGCCGCGGUAAUACGGAGGGUGCGAGCGUUAAUCGGAAUUACUGGGCGUAAAGGGUUCGUAGGUGGUUAAUUAAGGUAUCUGUGAAAUCCCCGGGCUCAACCUGGGCAGGUCAGAUAAUACUGGUUAACUCGAGUAUGGGAGAGGGUAGUGGAAUUUCCGGUGU